This 867-nucleotide long non-coding RNA is filed under the name Heterocephalus glaber (naked mole-rat). Its description in RNAcentral is "lncRNA (ENSHGLG00100040117.1)". The record is from RNAcentral. Lineage: Eukaryota; Metazoa; Chordata; Mammalia; Rodentia; Bathyergidae.
CAGCUGAGAUCUGGAUGUUUACCUGGGUACAUGCUAUAGAUAAUGAGAGGCAGAUGAAUAUUCUAUUAAUCUAAUUGUUUGUUCCCAUGUCUAAGUGAAUAAAAGUGAGGUGAGCCAAAGGCUUAGGGCUUUGUCCCAUAGAGGAAAAGAGGCCCCUGGCCCCUUCAUUCUAAAUUAUCUUUGUGUCUUUUGUUUUUCAUCCUCAUUUGCCUGCUAGUCAGAGAUAGACUCAUAGGCUGGUUCCCACAAGUGGUGCCCAAACAGGAUCCUGACCUGGGAAAGUCUGCCUGAAUGGAAGGUGUUGGGAAUAAGUGACAAGAAGUUCCACAGUGGAGAUGAGUUGAGCCAGCUGACAAGAAAACAAAAGAAAUGGAUGGGCAAUGUGGGUGCCCUCUAGGAACGUGCAACCACAGAGGAGUCCCCCCCUCUCAUGACAUGCCUGUGAUGGAGCUUGAUUGCUCUCUCCACCAGUGAGUGCCUCCUCCCAGAUGACAUUAGAUGACAUCUGCCACCUCAGGAGAGGAACCCAACAAUGUAUGCAAACAGACAACCACACUUCAUUUUGCUUCAGCUCCUGCUAUUACAAAAACAAAAAGGGGAGAUGUAGGAGACCAGAUAAUGAGGAUUGAGGCCUAAUCGAUCUUCUGCAAGCACCAAAGAGAAAAACAGCAAGCCGCAUUUCCUCUGGCAAUGUGCAGGCAUGCUAGCACAUUGGAAGUUUUGGAGAAGAGUCAAUACAGUUGAGAUCUGGAUGUUUACUUGGGUACAUGCUAUAGAUAACAAGAGGCAGAUGAAUCUUCUAUUAACCUAAUAGUUCAUUCCUGUGUCUAAGUGAAUAAAAACAAGAUGAGCCAAACGCUUAGGGCU